CGCCACAGGGGGGCACGAGGAUCCGGCGACCUCCUGUCAAGGAUUCCUUCGUCGCAUACCGCCUUCUACUUCGUCGAGGUGACAUCGCACCAAGACGAGAUUUAAUCGCACGACGUCGAGGAACGUGGCACACCAAGCCGAUCGACCAACCAACCAACCAACCAACAAACCAACCAAACAACCAACGUGCUAGAACGUCCUGAAACUCGAGGCUUGAACUUCGAAACCGAUUCCGUAUCCUUUGGACAUGUCCAACGUCGUUUAACAUGACCGUUCAAAUACCGUUGACGUUUGGACAAUGACGCUUACUCGAUCUCACGAGCUCGACAAGCGUGACUCGACGGGAUGAGAGGAAGCAUUAAAGUCGUUCGAUUCAGUAUCAAAAGGAAUGAGAGAAUGAGGCGAGAGAUCUAUGGUAGUACAUAAGAUGUAAGUACUUACAUACUUACUUAUUUACUUACUUACUUACUUACUCGUAUUGCUAUAGUUGCUGCUGUAUUGA
RNAcentral lists this long non-coding RNA (502 nucleotides) under Polistes fuscatus (common paper wasp). RNAcentral's name for it is "uncharacterized LOC122523069". Lineage: Eukaryota; Metazoa; Arthropoda; Insecta; Hymenoptera; Vespidae. The record is from RNAcentral.